GCCGGCAUGGUGUAGUGGUCUGAGUGUUUGACUAUGACUCUGGAGACCAGGGUUCAAAUCUCCAUUCAGCCA
Molecule: non-coding RNA, 72 nt
Organism: Phrynosoma platyrhinos (Desert horned lizard)
Lineage: Eukaryota; Metazoa; Chordata; Lepidosauria; Squamata; Phrynosomatidae
Source: the annotation of a GenBank genome assembly